CGGGCCAGAGCUUGAUAUAAAGCGUUUUAUUUACAUUAAAAAGUUGGUUGUGAAAUUCAAUUUGGCUUGA
This 70-nucleotide transfer RNA is filed under the name Analophus parallelus. RNAcentral describes it as "tRNA-Val". The record is from RNAcentral. Lineage: Eukaryota; Metazoa; Arthropoda; Insecta; Coleoptera; Cerambycidae.